GUAGGGCGGGACACGUGGUAUCCUGUCUGAAUAUGGGGGGACCAUCCUCCAAGGCUAAAUACUCCUGACUGACCGAUAGUGAACCAGUACCGUGAGGGAAAGGCGAAAAGAACCCCGGCGAGGGGAGUGAAAAAGAACCUGAAACCGUGUACGUACAAGCAGUGGGAGCCUCUUUAUGGGGUGACUGCGUACCUUUUGUAUAAUGGGUCAGCGACUUAUAUUCUGUAGCAAGGUUAACCGUAUAGGGGAGCCGAAGGGAAACCGAGUCUUAACUGGGCGUUAAGUUGCAGGGUAUAGACCCGAAACCCGGUGAUCUAGCCAUGGGCAGGUUGAAGGUUGGGUAACACUAACUGGAGGACCGAACCGACUAAUGUUGAAAAAUUAGCGGAUGACCUGUGGCUGGGGGUGAAAGGCCAAUCAAACCGGGAGAUAGCUGGUUCUCCCCGAAAGCUAUUUAGGUAGCGCCUCGUGAACUCAUCUUCGGGGGUAGAGCACUGUUUCGGCUAGGGGGCCAUCCCGGCUUACCAACCCGAUGCAAACUACGAAUACCGAAGAAUGUUAUCACGGGAGACACACGGCGGGUGCUAACGUCCGUCGUGAAGAGGGAAACAACCCAGACCGCCAGCUAAGGUCCCAAAGUCAUGGUUAAGUGGGAAACGAUGUGGGAAGGCACAGACAGCCAGGAUGUUGGCUUAGAAGCAGCCAUCAUUUAAAGAAAGCGUAAUAGCUCACUGGUCGAGUCGGCCUGCGCGGAAGAUGUAACGGGGCUAAACCAUGCACCGAAGCUGCGGCAGCGACACUAUGUGUUGUUGGGUAGGGGAGCGUUCUGUAAGCCGUUGAAGGUGGCCUGUGAGGGUUGCUGGAGGUAUCAGAAGUGCGAAUGCUGACAUAAGUAACGAUAAAGCGGGUGAAAAGCCCGCUCGCCGGAAGACCAAGGGUUCCUGUCCAACGUUAAUCGGGGCAGGGUGAGUCGACCCCUAAGGCGAGGCCGAAAGGCGUAGUCGAUGGGAAACAGGUUAAUAUUCCUGUACUUGGUGUUACUGCGAAGGGGGGACGGAGAAGGCUAUGUCAGCCGGGCGACGGUUGUCCCGGUUUAAGCAUGUAGGCGGAGGUUCCAGGUAAAUCCGGUACCUUGUUAACGCUGAGGUGUGAUGACGAGGCACUACGGUGCUGAAGUGAUAAAUGCCCUGCUUCCAGGAAAAGCCUCUAAGCAUCAGGUAACACGAAAUCGUACCCCAAACCGACACAGGUGGUCAGGUAGAGAAUACCAAGGCGCUUGAGAGAACUCGGGUGAAGGAACUAGGCAAAAUGGUGCCGUAACUUCGGGAGAAGG
RNAcentral lists this ribosomal RNA (1333 nucleotides) under Enterobacter hormaechei. RNAcentral's name for it is "partial 23S ribosomal RNA". It matches the Rfam family "Bacterial large subunit ribosomal RNA", at positions 412 to 1746 of the family's 2925-position model. The record is from RNAcentral. Lineage: Bacteria; Pseudomonadati; Pseudomonadota; Gammaproteobacteria; Enterobacterales; Enterobacteriaceae.